GAAUUCACUAGUGAUUAGAGUUUGAUCCUGGCUCAGGAUGAACGCUGGCGGCGUGCUUAACACAUGCAAGUCGAACGGACCCUACGGGGUUAGUGGCGGACGGGUGAGUAACGCGUGAGGAUCUGGCCUUAGGAGAGGGACAACAGAUGGAAACGUCUGCUAAUACCUCAUAUGCCGAGAGGUGAAAGCUUGAUGUGCCUGAGGAUGAACUCGCGUCGGAUUAGCUAGUUGGUGGGGUAAGGGCCUACCAAGGCGACGAUCUGUAGCUGGUCUAAGAGGAUGAUCAGCCACACUGGGACUGAGACACGGCCCAGACUCCUACGGGAGGCAGCAGUGGGGAAUUUUCCGCAAUGGGGGCAACCCUGACGGAGCAACGCCGCGUGCGGGAGGACGGCCUAGGGUUGUAAACCGCUUUUCUCUGGGAAGAAGAUAUGACGGUACCAGAGGAAUAAGCGUCGGCUAACUCCGUGCCAGCAGCCGCGGUAAGACGGAGGAUGCAAGCGUUAUCCGGAAUUAUUGGGCGUAAAGCGUCCGCAGGCGGCUAAUUAAGUCUGCUGUCAAAGCCCACAGCUCAACUGUGGAUCGGCAGUGGAAACUGGUUAGCUUGAGUGCGGUAGGGGUAGAGGGAAUUCCCGGUGUAGCGGUGUAAUGCGUAGAUAUCGGGAAGAACACCAGUGGCGAAGGCGCUCUACUGGGCCGCAACUGACGCUGAGGGACGAAAGCUAGGGGAGCGAAAGGGAUUAGAUACCCCUGUAGUCCUAGCUGUAAACGAUGA
Molecule: ribosomal RNA, 775 nt
Filed under: uncultured Oscillatoria sp.
Lineage: Bacteria; Bacillati; Cyanobacteriota; Cyanophyceae; Oscillatoriales; Oscillatoriaceae
Description: partial 16S ribosomal RNA
Rfam family: Bacterial small subunit ribosomal RNA
Source: RNAcentral